UACGUAGGGUGCAAGCGUUAAUCGGAAGUACUGGGCGUAAAGCGGGCGCAGGCGGGUGGGCAAGGCAGAUGUGAAAUCCCCGGGCUUAACCUGGGAACUGCAUUUGUGACUGCACAGCUAGAGUGUGUCAGAGGGGGGUAGAAUUCCACGUGUAGCAGUGAAAUGCGUAGAUAUGUGGAGGAAUACCGAUGGCGAAGGCAGCCCCCUGGGAUAACACUGACGCUCAUGCACGAAAGCGUGGGGAGCAAACAGG
Molecule: ribosomal RNA, 253 nt
Filed under: uncultured bacterium
Lineage: Bacteria
Description: partial 16S ribosomal RNA
Rfam family: Bacterial small subunit ribosomal RNA
Source: RNAcentral